UCUUGCGCAAUGGGCGAAAGCCUGACGCAGCGACGCCGCGUGCGGGAUGACGGCCUUCGGUUGUAAACCGCUUUCAGCAGGGACGAGGCCGCAAGGUGACGGUACCUGCAGAAGAAGCCCCGGCUAACUACGUGCC
This 136-nucleotide ribosomal RNA is filed under the name uncultured bacterium. RNAcentral's name for it is "partial 16S ribosomal RNA". It matches the Rfam family "Bacterial small subunit ribosomal RNA", at positions 362 to 509 of the family's 1533-position model. The record is from RNAcentral.